UGUGAAGUGACUGUGACAGGAAAGGUUGUUUUGAAUUUUUAACAAUAGAUCAUUAUUAGUGUUUUUUUUUAUUUUGUUUUCUCUUUUCCAUUAGUUGUACGUUUUGUCGAGGUGGGAACCACAAUACUGAUUCAACCACUGGCAGAACAAUCCUCCAAAUAAAUUGUUACCAUAAUCCUCCUGCCACGUUUGGGGUUUUGUAGUCUGUUUAAAGCACCAGUUUGUAGUUCUGAGCCAUACUUUCAAUCUUUUUCAGCAGGGUUUCACCUCCAAACAUGGAAUGGGGUCUUGCAUAGUGAAUGUGGGCACAUUUUUACAACAACGUCUUGUGAGCAUCCACACAAGUAUACGUUCAGACCACAGAGGGACUCAGAUCAUUGUUGCAGAGCACACGCCCCACAUCUGGAACAUAUCCUACAGGCUGUUGUCAUUAGCGACCAUCGGAAGACUGAAUAAAUAAGCUUCCCAUCUGCACUCAUGUGAUGCUUUG
This is a long non-coding RNA of Sphaeramia orbicularis (orbiculate cardinalfish), 490 nucleotides long. RefSeq lists it as uncharacterized. NCBI's taxonomy places the organism in Eukaryota, Metazoa, Chordata, Actinopteri, Kurtiformes, Apogonidae. The record is from RefSeq and is a predicted model, not a curated record. The transcript has 2 exons.